CUUUUGCAAUACCAGCCCAUGUUCAAGGCAUUAGACAAGCCAGUAUUAACAUCCGGAUCUGUGCACAGCUGAAUCAUCAGUCUUUAUGCAGAAUUGAAGGAGAAGCACGGAAGUCCUGAGCAACACGUGCGCUCCCCACUACCUGAAAAGAGGCUUUGAGGAGUAUCGCCAGAUACUUUAUCAGAUGUAGAAGACUCAAGUGACGAGGCGGCCCCCUCUCAGUGCCAGGACAAAGUAGCUGCGCAUAUCGAUUUCAAAAUCAAGACGACAAAGGAUGAUUCUUUUGAUGUGCUGUCUUGGUGGAAGGAGCAUGCAGCUUUAUUCCCCAACUUGGCUCAGAUCGCAAGAUCUGUCAUAGCCAUCGCAGCAUCAAGCACCGCAAGUGAGAGAGACUUCUCCUGUGCUGGAUUUGUAAUUCAGGAGCGGAGGAGUCCACUUAAACUAUCAACAGUUGAUGACAUUCUGUUCUUACAUAGUAACCUUAUGCACCUUGUGUAAUUUCUCUCUCUCGCUCGCUCACUCGCUCUCCCUCGACACUGCUGCCAAGCCUACAUAUUUUUCGUUAGCCUAAUAAAGUUUAAGGUUAUUAUUGGUUAUGACAGUAAAAGCAUUUGGCUAUGUUUUUUAAUUUAUGCCUUUUAGACCUCUAAGCAUAUAGCAUUACCCAGUGAUGUGAUUUAUGCACAAUUUGUUCACUUGAUUUUUAAUUUUAUAUAGUUUACACAGGACAGAUGAUGCUCUCUCUCUCUCUUUCUUCUUCUUUGUUGUUAACAUGACGGGCUGCGUGUCUAUUAAUUGUUCUUGCAUGAACUCAUAAUGCGUAAUGUUUAUUGCUUACGUUACAUGAAAAAAAAAAAAAAGGUUUUUAAUGCGGGUCGGGUCGCGGUUUUCAUGUCAAGCGAGUCGGGUCGGGUACGGAAUUAAAUUAGUGUUUCUGUCGGAUAUCGGGUCGGGUGUAUUGUUAAUAAAGCGGGUG
Long non-coding RNA from Ctenopharyngodon idella (grass carp), 976 nucleotides. RefSeq lists it as uncharacterized. The transcript has 2 exons. The record is from RefSeq and is a predicted model, not a curated record. Lineage: Eukaryota; Metazoa; Chordata; Actinopteri; Cypriniformes; Xenocyprididae.